This 509-nucleotide ribosomal RNA is filed under the name uncultured bacterium. RNAcentral describes it as "bacterial SSU rRNA". It matches the Rfam family "Bacterial small subunit ribosomal RNA", at positions 29 to 507 of the family's 1533-position model. The record is from RNAcentral.
ACGAACGCUGGCGGCGUGCUUAACACAUGCAAGUCGAACGAGAGGAGAAGGAAGCUUGCUUCUUUCAAAUCUAGUGGCAAACGGGUGAGUAACACGUAGGCAACCUGCCCUUUAGUUGGGGACAACAUCCCGAAAGGGGUGCUAAUACCGAAUGUGAUCGCUCUCUCGCAUGAGAGAGCGAUGAAAGAUGGCCUCUAUUUAUAAGCUAUCGCUAAAGGAUGGGCCUGCGUCUGAUUAGCUAGUUGGUGAGGUAACGGCCCACCAAGGCGACGAUUGGUAGCCGGACUGAGAGGAUGAACGGCCACAUUGGGACUGAGACACGGCCCAGACUCCUACGGGAGGCAGCAGUGGGGAAUCUUCCGCAAUGGACGAAAGUCUGACGGAGCAACGCCGCGUGAACGAUGACGGCCUUCGGGUUGUAAAGUUCUGUUAUACGGGACGAAUGGCGUAGCGGUCAAUACCCGUUACGAGUGACGGUACCGUAAGAGAAAGCCACGGCUAACUACGUG